GUAAACACUUCAGCAGCACAUAUGCUAAAAUGGGAAUGAUACAGAGAUUAGCAUGGUCUCUGGGCAAGGAUGACAUGCAAAUUCAUGAAGCAUUUCAUAUUUUU
Small nuclear RNA from Bos grunniens (domestic yak), 104 nucleotides. NCBI's taxonomy places the organism in Eukaryota, Metazoa, Chordata, Mammalia, Artiodactyla, Bovidae. The record is from Ensembl.